This 2160-nucleotide ribosomal RNA is filed under the name Triticum aestivum (bread wheat). RNAcentral describes it as "partial small subunit ribosomal RNA". Lineage: Eukaryota; Viridiplantae; Streptophyta; Magnoliopsida; Poales; Poaceae. The record is from RNAcentral.
AUGAAGCGCUCUGCUAGCUGGUUGGAGACUGCAAAACCCGUCUUCGUCACCAAGGCGGAGCGGGAGCGCCGCCAGGCGCCCGCCGUCGCCGACCGGCGCCACUCUGCAGCAGAUCUGUUCCGCUCCCUCCAUCAGCCCCCUUUGCUGCCGUCGCCGACUCCCCCGUCCAGCUUCAACCCUUCUCUUUGCAACUCUGCCUAUCGCGACUCUUCCGAUCGGGAUCGGGACAGAGACCGCCGCCACGACCUCGACCGCGACCGCCGCCGCGACCGAUAUGACUCUUCCUGCCGGGAUAGGGGUAAGGAGAGGAUUAGGGAGCGCGGCCCCGGCCGCGACUGCCACAGGGAGCGGGAGCAGGACCGAGACGGGGAGCGCGCGGACCGGAACAGGGAGAAAGAUCGGCUGGAGAGGAUGGCGGAGCGGGAGCGGGAGAAGGAGCUGGAGGCGAUCAAGGAGCAGUACCUGGGGUGUAAGAAGCCCAAGAAGCAGGUCAUCAAGCCAUCGGAGAAGUUCCGCUCCUUCGACUGGGAGAACACCGAGGACACAAGCCGCGACAUGAACACGCUCUACCAGUUGCCGCACGAGGCCCGGCCCCUCUUCGGCCGGGGAUUCGUUGCUGGUAUGGACCGCCGUGAGCAGAAGAAGGCGGCGGCCCAACACGAGAAGAAGAUCCGUGCAGAGCUGCGGCACAGAACUGGUGCGGAGGAUCGCAUGGAGGACGAUGAUGAUUUGGUGGGCAAGAAGAAUGCUGCUGCAGCUGAUUCGUAUGACACCUUUGACAUGCGUGUUGACAGGCACUGGUCUGAAAAGUCGCUCGCGGAGAUGACCGAGCGAGAUUGGCGCAUUUUCCGCGAAGACUUCAGUAUCUCUUACAAGGGGUCUCGCGUACCUCGGCCGAUGCGGAGCUGGAGCGAGAGCAACCUUGGGGCUGAGCUGCUGCUUGCUGUCGAGGGGGCUGGAUACCGGAAACCAUCGCCAAUCCAGAUGGCUGCCAUUCCACUUGGUUUAAGCCAGCGUGAUGUCAUUGGGAUUGCUGAGACAGGUUCCGGCAAGACUGCAGCUUUUGUGCUUCCCAUGAUGUCUUAUAUUGCACAAUUACCCCCCAUAAGUGAUGAAAAUGGUCCUUAUGCUCUUGUCCUGGCACCUACUCGCGAGCUUGCUCAACAGAUUGAGGAGGAGACUGUGAAAUUUGCGAAUUGUCUAGGCAUUAGGGUCGUGUCAGUUGUUGGUGGUCAGCAGAUUGAGGGGCAGGCCUUAAAGCUCAAGCAGGGCUGUGAGAUUGUAAUUGCCACACCUGGUCGGCUUCUUGAUUGCUUGGAGAGCAGGUAUGCUGUGCUCAACCAGUGCAACUAUGUUGUGCUUGAUGAGGCUGAUAGGAUGAUCGACAUGGGUUUUGAGCCACAGGUUGUUGCUGUCCUUGACGCGAUGCCUUCGAGUAACCUGAAACCUGAGAAUGAGGACGAGAAACUUGAUGAGAGGAGGAUUUACAGGACUACAUGUAUGUUCAGUGCCACCAUGCCACCUGCUGUGGAGCGUCUUGCUAGAAAGUAUCUCCGGCACCCAGUUGUUGUGACAAUUGGUACGCCGGGCAAGGCCACUGAGCUAAUCACCCAGAAUGUGAUGAUGGUGAAGGAGUCUGAAAAGAAAUUUCUGCUUCACAAGAUGCUCAGAGAGCUUGGAGACAAAACAGCCAUUGUCUUCUGCAAUACCAGGGAAUCAGUGGGCAUGCAUACCAAGGAUCUGGCGAAUAAAGGCUUCCGCGUCAUGGGUAUACAUGGAGGAAAAUCACAGGCAAAGAGAGAUAUCAGCCUUGAUGGUUUCAGGAACAGGCACUGCAAUGUGCUUGUGGCUACUGAUAUAUUGGCGCGUGGUAUCGAUGUUCCUGAUGUUGCACAUGUGAUUAACUAUGAGAUGCAUAAUUCAAUCGAGAUAUACACACAUCGCAUUGGAAGAACAGGGCGUGCAGGUAAGAAGGGUGUGGCGACUUCAUUUUUAACUCUGGAGAACACUGAUAUUUUCUUUGAUCUGAAACAGAUGCUUAUACAGAGCAACAGUCCUGUGCCACCUGAACUUGCACGGCACGAGGCAUCAAGGUUCAGGCCCGGCUCAGCUCCUGGUAGACCUCCAAGAAGAAAUGACACUGUUUUUGCAAAUCGCUGA